Molecule: long non-coding RNA, 4642 nt
Filed under: Sus scrofa (pig)
Lineage: Eukaryota; Metazoa; Chordata; Mammalia; Artiodactyla; Suidae
Description: lncRNA (ENSSSCG00005006678.1)
Source: RNAcentral
CAUUCUUUUAAACAUUAUCUCCAAUUCCAGAAACCCAGUUCACCAAAAAAGCUCUUUAAAUUCCUGCCGAGGCUGCUGCCUGGAUCAUGGGUGCUAGAAGGGAAGUGCAGGGCCCAGCCCUGAAUGCUGUGACUCCUGGGAAACUGGAGGAAGGGCACUGACCCCAAACUCUGCUCCCAAGGACAGGGAGGCAGACUAAGGUCACAGGUUCCCUCAUUCCACCAGAUGGUCGGCUCCCUCGGGCCAUCCCGCAGGACCCCUGAAGCACCCUCCAAGCGUUGGUUAGAAACCCCAGCUGAGAACCGUUUACACGUCCUUCUAAAAAGAUCCUGCUCCUGGAUUUGACAAGCCCAAAUUUGGGCAUCCCUUCGACCUCCAGCUUGCAGCUGACACCUGACCACAGAACCACGCACAGGAUCCCGUGAUCAGUAGCAGGGGGUUCUGCGGGCGAAGGAGCUACCCUGUGGCUAAGGAGACACCCGUGGUUCUCAGCAGGCCGCCACUGGCAUCUGAGACAAGACGGUUCCACCCAGUGCGGGCCUGCCCGGCACACUGGGGACAUGCAGCUGUCCCGGCCUCAGGGCUGUCAAGGCCACAACGUGACAACCACAACUGCCACCACGCACUGUCACACUGCCCCUAGGAGCAGCACUGCCCAGCCGAGGGUGACAGGUGCAGCACCCAAGUAGACCCGCCCAGGUCAGGCCCAAGCUGGGGCCCGUGCCCCUCCUCCUACGGGGCUGGUACCCCCGGGGCAUCAUCUAUGGACCCUCGAGUCUCUCUCCAGCAUCACCCCCAUCACAACGGCUGCUGGCUGCUGCAGUAACAUCUCCCUGGGUGGGACAACAGCUCACAUUCCUCAAAGGUUGCCGCAACACAUCAGCUUCUUCCUUUUCCUUAUUUCUUUUAGCCAGUUCCAUCUAUUUCAUUUUUUGGCCAUACCGCCAGCAUGCAGAAGUUCCUAGGCCAGGGUUCAAACAUGUGCCACAGCAGUGACAACACUGGAUCCUUAACCACUGAGCUACCAGGGAGCUCCAUCGUCAAGUUCUUUUUUGAAGACCUUAACCACCCCCCCUGCCCAGUGCCAGCUCCUCCACAACCCCAGGCCUGGGUAAACAGGGAACGAUAAAGCCUUCCUGCUUGCUAUUCAAACAGCCACUCUUCAAGGGAGUUCCCCGCUGGCCUAGUGGUUAAGGAUUCAGCGUUGUCACUGCCGUGGCGUGGGUUCAAUCCCUAGACCCAGAACUUUCUCAUGCCAUGGACACCAAAACUUCUAUGGUUGUAUCCCUCACAAAGUAAAUUAAAAAUAACAAAAAUUAUUCAAUUAUUCAAUGUUUUAAAAAAAAUCUCAAAGAGCCACAGUCCACAGUUUUUCCUCUUAGAGGUUCCAGCGUGUUACCACCAACCCCUGUCAGGUACCUGGCUGUCCCCACGGCUGGAGGAUUGCAUGGUCACCUCACGAGGGGUUUGAGUUUUUUUCAAAUGGCUGCCAUUAAUAUUUGCAUCUAUUUCACACUCAGUCCCUUAAAAACAGAAAACAUAGACCAUCCGCCUGCUUUAUGAUGAAAUCCAGUAUAAAUGUGGGGUCACAAAGCACGCUUUCAGACUCAGGACCUCGGCUUACAGAGAAUAACCUCAGAGCGGGUGUCUCUUUGAGCAGCAGCCUCCCUCCGGCCUCAUCACAGGUCUCAGGCAUGGAACGAGCUUUGGGAAGCGCUGUGUGGGCCGCAAAGGCCUAUGGGAAAGGCGGCGGUCAGUCCGUACUUAUUCACCAUUGUCACGGUACAGGGCCAUCGUCACUGGACAAAAUCUAGACCAUCCAAGAGUUCCCUGAUGGUGCACCCAGUUAAGGAUCUGGUGGUGUCGCUGCUGUGGCACAGGUUCGAUCCCUGGCCCGGGAACUUCCGCAUGCCAUGGGUACAGCCAAAAAGUAAAAAUAAAAAUAAAUUUUAAUUAUUUUUAAAUCUAAAGUAUCUCAUAUCUGCUCAGAAACAGAGAAGGCACCUUUCACAAGGACGCUGAUUCAAAGAUUCUCUCUUGAUUGUUCUUCUUUUACCCUGCAGUUGAGCUGUCACCAGUGGGUAUUUCAGAAGCACCACAGCCAAAAUAUGAGGGGCCAAAGAAGUAAAAAAAAAAAAAAGAGAGAGAGAGAGAGAGAAAGAAAAGGCAGAAAACACAAAAAGAUAGCUUUUACCAAUUAAUAAGCUGAUUUCUGUACUUGAAAGUGCCCUAAACACAGGCAUGCGAAAACAUCUACCUUACAGAGCAGGUGUCACUCACUCUAAGCGUGAAAGCACCCUUUGAUGCACUUGGAGCUACUCAAAGAGACACCCGGAAAGUGGGCAAGGAGCACCCUGCCAACCACCGGCUUCACCCAGCACCUACACAGAAGCCGCUGCCACCUCCCAGGAAGCAGAAGGAAAGGAGGAAACAGCCUAUGACGGGUACUUUGCUGUGUCAACGUCUCUGGGCCACAGUGCUUAGCUACUGGAUCAAACAUCAUUCUGGAUAUUUCUGCGAAGGUGCGUUUCGGAAGAGUAAGGCUGAACCGGGCAGACAAUGAGGACAACAGACCCCCGCAACGGUGGGGGCCUUCAGAGAAAAGCCUGAGAUCCUCCAAGUGAGAAGGAAUCCUGCCGGCAGGUGGCCCUUGGACUUGCAAGGGACCGUCUACUGCCCCCCUUCGUAUUCCAGACUUCCACCUCCACAAUUACGGAAGUCAGCUGCACAAAGUAAAUCUAUUUCUCCAUCUGCUAAGAAAAAAAGGGAAAGAAAAAGAGGAAACAAGUACUUCCACAUUCUUACCAUUAAUAAGAAAAACAAAGGGGAGAAGUUACACCCAGAGUCACCAUAGGACCCGACAAUUCGUUUCUAAGCCAAUCCACCAAAGAGCUGAAAACCACCGGCAACUCAAGUACCUUCACAGCCACACGUGUAAAGGCAGCAGCUCUGCUCACAACAGCCAAGAGGUGGAACCAACCCAAACGCACAACCAUCGACGAGCGGACAAACACGGUUACGGCCAUACAAUGGGUGUUAUCACUCCCAGCCAUUAAAAAGCAAAGUACGGACACUGACGUGUCACCCCGCUCGGAUGAACCCCAAGACCAUCGGAGUGCAAGAAGGCAGAUGCCAAGGUCCGCAGUGUCUGAGUCCACUUAUUUGAAACGUCCAGACUCGGAGAAGCCACAGAGACAGCAGCAGACGGGUGGCUGCCAAGGACUUGGUGGCGGGGGCGAGGGGGGGACCGGGGCGUGACUGCUGAGGGUAUGGAGGGCACGGCCUUUCCCUCUGGGGCCAUGAAACGGCUGCGGAACUGGACGGAGGUGGUGGCCGCACACCCCUGGAAAUGCGCCCCAUGCCACUGAAGCGCUCACUUCCAGAGUUAAUUCCAUGCUGGGCGCAGGUGCGAUGCGCCUCAACCACAAAAGCAACAACCGCAAAAAAACGGCAACAACAAAAGCGCCACAUCACUCACAGAGACCCUGCCGGAAGGCUGCUGUGCCCGAGGCAGAGGCUUUGGAAAAAAAAGGACACGGUCUGAGGCCUCAGGGCGCAGGAGAUGAAGGUCACCUGACCAGGACGCAAGGCAUCGCCUGGGCGACCUUCAGGCAGCGACAGCGGCCUCAUCACCCCCACACACUUGUCUGACCCAGUGGGAGGACUUCCGGGGGCUCCCACGACACCGCCUGCAAGGAGACGAGGGGACCGGCUCCCAGCAGCCCUCAGGUCCCAGGAGAAGAAAGUUCUCCUUCUGGAAUCCUUUUCGCUGGGGCAGCUCGGACCCCGCACACCCUGAUCUGCGAGUUGCACUUCGGCCGGAAACAUGGACCCCUGUGACAAGAGGGGACAAGAGGUGACGAGAGGUGGGCCUCAAUUGUUUCCUGGUUUCCUUUCCAAGAUUAUCAAAUUGGUACCUUUGAACUUUAGCCAGGAAUAAUAAAAUCCUGAAUUCUUCUAGGACUUGGAUUGUCAGAGAAAAGGAAGCAAUUUUAAGAUAUGUAUUUAUAUACCUAGAUACGGAUGCAUAAUAUGCAUUAUCUGUAUCAUAGCUCAGUAGACAAAAUUACACUGUAUGUGUCUAAUCUUUCUCAACCGUGAAAAACUAUCAAGCUUUAACACAAGUAUUUGUUCAAGCAGCGCACUACGAUUUUGGUGAAAAUAUACACAUUGCGAAGAAUUACAUCUCAGGUUCAACUGCAGAAUUCAGUGGCAGUGGGGACUCUCACUGUUAUUUAAAGGUCUCCGUUGCGUCUCUGGCUUCUCUCAAAGAUGCCCAGUAGGGCCAGCAGGUCACAGGAUGUGGGGGGAGGCGGUCCAGGCACAGCUCCAGGCUCCAUGGCUGUCACGCUCAGGCCUUUGGAGCCCAGUUCAGACACAGGGUGAGCUGCCUCGCAAGACGUGGCUUCUCCGAUGAAGCCUCCACUGGCCGGGGGCCCCUGGGGUGGUCCCUGGCUGGGGUGGUCCCUGGCUGGGGUGGUCCCUGCAAACCCGUCCUCAGCAACCGGAGCCCCGCCCCCAAUAGCCGGACUCACACCAGGUCAGCGUGGGUUUCUUCAAUCCGUACAAAAGCAAUCUAUCAGGUGGGAGCCCACAGACCUGAGGCUUUUGUGUGGCACUGAAUGAGGGUGACACGUCAACA